AGCCUCGCUCACACGGGCGUUACAGUUCGUUGCCAAGACGCCAAAUACCCAGUUGGCGGCGCCGGGGAGCGUGCUGCAGCUGUAGGUGUUCCACCUCAGUUCUUCAUAGACCUGGUAGACGGGGAGUAGGAGGAGAAGCAGAUGCCGGUUCCGCAGUGGCGAUGGCUACAGCCAUGGGACGGAUGAUCUUCGUGGGAGAUUGAGGCCCGCGUGGAUGCCGAUCUUUUCUGGAGCCCCAUGAGGUUUGCCUUAAUUAACUAUGGUUCUAGUGCACAUUAUAUUCUAUGGUCAGAACUGCUGCUUUUUAGAAGGUGGAAGUGAAACUUGUACCCAAGUUUCCAUGUCCAUGACAGCACCAUAGAAAACUUUUCUUUUUGUUAGCAAGAUAGGAGGAAUUAUGAGUCUGACUUGAAGCUUGGCCACAAGAGCUAACAUGGUCUGAAUAAUUAAAUAUACCAUAAUAUAGUACAUGGAAUUGAUUCUACAAGAUUCUUGGUAGGUAGCAUAGAAACUAGCAAGACCGAAGGCAGUUGCCAUCAGCAGAAAGAUAAGCGUUGUCAUGUUCUCUUACAUAGGCACUCAAUGAAGCUUAAUCCCAAUUAUGAACAUACGGGCAAUGUUGAUCGAUCAUGUGGGCCUAGCUUGUCAUGCCUUAUCUUCCACACUUCUACGUUGGUCCAUGGCAUAGGGGGAUAUGAAUGGCCAUAUGUUCGUCUGUGUGGGGGGGGGAAUCCUGAUAGGGUUGGAAAUUUUAACAUCUUUCUGCGGCUCCACGAGAAUUCCAUGGGGCCUCCCCUUGCCUCCGACCGCUCCCAUAGCCUACUUUGUCGGCGCGUAAUCAUUGUCGCCUGCGCUACUCCAAGAGUUGUGUUUUCCCUCGUAUGGAGACUUGUCAGGGAUGGAUCAUAACGAUCUUUUGAUCCGUCGGCAGCUAUUGGAGCUUUGAUCUAGCACCAAAUUGUGUCGGGCGGAGUACGAGUAGCAGGUCUGGAUGGCUUCACGCGAGACACAUUAGGAUCAACCUAGGUUUGGGCCCUCUUAAGAGAGGUACAAACCAAAUCCUACUACUAAGAGUUGUAUUGCUCAUAUGCAGCUUGAGAUCUGAGUGAUCACAACCUAGGGUUCUUCGUUACAAAGGGCAGCCGCGAUGGCGGCAGAGAGGUGGGAGAUGAAGGGUUAGGUGAGGAUCCCUAAAUAUCACUAAGUUAGAUGAUUCUAGAUGAAUUGUUAGAAAGAGUGGAGAUUUAUCGAUCCUUGAUCGAGAGCCCCCUAGCUCGCCAUACAUGGCUCUAGCCAGUUUACAAAUGGGUGCACCCAUCCGGGUCAAACCGAACACUUGUUCGUCAGGCGCGCCUUCUGGUUUGCUUGUACUCCAAGAGAAUUAUGUGCCCUACUCCCUGUAAAGAAAGUGGGCUCUAAGUCAUCGUUCCGGCCCACUUGACGCUACCGGGUCGACUUUUGUCCUUCUUGACUAUACAUGGGUGGUAUGCCAUCAUCAAUAGCUCCC
Triticum aestivum (bread wheat) is the source of this 1507-nucleotide long non-coding RNA. RefSeq lists it as uncharacterized. The transcript is spliced from 3 exons. Lineage: Eukaryota; Viridiplantae; Streptophyta; Magnoliopsida; Poales; Poaceae. The record is from RefSeq and is a predicted model, not a curated record.